GGCGGACGGGUGAGGAGCGCGUAAGGACCUGCCCCUGGGAGGGGGAGUAACAGCUGGAAACGGCUGCUAAUACCCCAUAGCCUGAGGAGGGAAAGGAGAGAUCCGCCCAGGGAGGGGCUUGCGUCUGAUUAGCUGGUUGGGGGGGGUAAUGGCCUCCCAAGGCAACGAUCAGUAGCUGGUCUGAGAGGAUGAUCAGCCACACUGGGACUGAGACACGGCCCAG
Molecule: ribosomal RNA, 223 nt
Filed under: uncultured bacterium
Lineage: Bacteria
Description: partial 16S ribosomal RNA
Rfam family: Bacterial small subunit ribosomal RNA
Source: RNAcentral